CAGGGGAUAACAUUUGGAAACAAAUGCUAAUACCGUAUAAUAAUUAAAACCGCAUGGUUUUAGUUUAAAAGAUGGUCUUGCUAUCACUAAGAGAUGGUCCCGCGGUGUAUUAGUUAGUUAGUGAGGUAAUGGCUCACCAAGACAAUGAUACAUAGCCGAGUUGAGAGACUGACCGGCCACAAUGGGACUGAGACACGGCCCAUACUCCUACGGGAGGCAGCAGUAGGGAAUCUUCCACAAUGGACGAAAGUCUGAUGGAGCAACGCCGCGUGUGUGAUGAAGGGUUUCGGCUCGUAAAACACUAUUGUAAGAGAAGAAUGACAUUGAGAGUAACUGUUCAAUGUGUGACGGUAUCUUACCAGAAAGGAACGGCUAAAUACGUG
This 383-nucleotide ribosomal RNA is filed under the name uncultured bacterium. Its description in RNAcentral is "bacterial SSU rRNA". It matches the Rfam family "Bacterial small subunit ribosomal RNA", at positions 137 to 507 of the family's 1533-position model. The record is from RNAcentral.